This 716-nucleotide long non-coding RNA is filed under the name Phascolarctos cinereus (koala). RNAcentral describes it as "lncRNA (ENSPCIG00000032399.1)". The record is from RNAcentral. Lineage: Eukaryota; Metazoa; Chordata; Mammalia; Diprotodontia; Phascolarctidae.
AUCACAUAACCUAGGUGCUUGACAUCCUUUCUUCCUGGCUGAAUCUACAGUCUUGGAGAGACAGAGGUAGUGAGAGGUGUUGCAAGUGACUGGCAGAUUCCAAUACAGUAUUGUCAUGUUGCAUCAAGGCCCCUUCACUGCAGAUGGAAACCUGCCUCCCUACAUCAGAACAGCCCCGCUUUAAUCAUCUUAGGACCCAGGUUCAGCAGCCAACCUCACUCCUAAUGACAUUCUGUUAAAUGGACAAAUUCCUCUGAAGCCUUGUACUGCUUUGAAAUCCAAUUUCACAGGAAGCCAAAUCUGAUUGGGGGUCGUCAUGGAAACUACACUGAGGAGCCUUCAAGGAGCUGGAGAGAGGCAAGGCAAAAUGUGAUAGUUGAGUCCUUUACUCUUCUGUCAGAAAUAUCAAAGGGAUCUGGAGAGGUUGGCAGCAGAUGAGUCCCUGGUAUGGUCCUGUUCUGUGUGGCUGGGUACCAUGUGGCUGUCACUGGAGAUACCUCAGCUACUGCCCUCUGGGACUUGACCAUCUGAGAUCAUGUUUACCAGAUCCUUGGAUGCUGACCUAAAAAUGUGAGCUCCCAUUAGAAGGGAUGCUGAGUGGAAUACCAAACAAGGGUGUCUCAGAGCUCACACUUCACCUCAGCCACGCAAUCGACAGGAGAAGCAGCCAGCGAGACCGACAGACUGUCACUGGCAAAAUGAACUGUCACCUCCCA